UACGUAGGUGGCAAGCGUUGUUCGGAAUUAUUGGGCGUAAAGGGCGCGUAGGCGGUCUUGUAAGUCAGCUGUGAAAGCCCGGGGCUCAACCCCGGAGGGUCGGCUGAUACUGCAGGACUGGAGUACGGAAGAGGUAGCUGGAAUUCCCGGUGUAGCGGUGAAAUGCGUAGAUAUCUGGAGGAACACCGGUGGCGAAGGCGGCAUCCUGGACCGGUAUUGACGCUGAGGCGCGAAAGCCAGGGGAGCAAACGGG
Molecule: ribosomal RNA, 253 nt
Filed under: uncultured bacterium
Lineage: Bacteria
Description: partial 16S ribosomal RNA
Rfam family: Bacterial small subunit ribosomal RNA
Source: RNAcentral